Molecule: ribosomal RNA, 253 nt
Filed under: uncultured bacterium
Lineage: Bacteria
Description: partial 16S ribosomal RNA
Rfam family: Bacterial small subunit ribosomal RNA
Source: RNAcentral
UACGUAUGGUGCAAGCGUUAUCCGGAUUUACUGGGUGUAAAGGGAGCGCAGGCGGCACGGCAAGCCUGAUGUGAAAGCCCGCGGCCCAACCGCGGGACUGCAUUGGGAACUACCGGGCUGGAGUGCCGGAGAGGUAGGCGGAAUUCCUAGUGUAGCGGUGAAAUGCGCAGAUAUUAGGAGGAACACCAGUGGCGAAGGCGGCCUACUGGACGGUGACUGACGCUGAGGCUCGAAAGCGUGGGGAGCAAACAGG